RNAcentral lists this ribosomal RNA (256 nucleotides) under uncultured bacterium. RNAcentral's name for it is "partial 16S ribosomal RNA". It matches the Rfam family "Bacterial small subunit ribosomal RNA", at positions 521 to 776 of the family's 1533-position model. The record is from RNAcentral.
UAAUACGGAGGGAGCUAGCGUUGUUCGGAAUUACUGGGCGUAAAGCGCGCGUAGGCGGUCCAUCAAGUCAGAGGUGAAAGCCCGGGGCUCAACCCCGGAACUGCCUUUGAAACUGGCGGACUAGAAUCUUGGAGAGGUCAGUGGAAUUCCGAGUGUAGAGGUGAAAUUCGUAGAUAUUCGGAAGAACACCAGUGGCGAAGGCGACUGACUGGACAAGUAUUGACGCUGAGGUGCGAAAGCGUGGGGAGCAAACAGG